Molecule: transfer RNA, 76 nt
Filed under: Bos taurus (domestic cattle)
Lineage: Eukaryota; Metazoa; Chordata; Mammalia; Artiodactyla; Bovidae
Also listed under: 5 other names
Rfam family: tRNA
About the family: Transfer RNA (tRNA) molecules are approximately 80 nucleotides in length.
Source: Rfam by way of RNAcentral
UCCAUGAUAGCUCAGUUGGUUGGUAAAGAAUCUGCCUGCAAUGCAGGAGACCCUGGUUUGAUUCCUGGGUCUGGAA